This 76-nucleotide transfer RNA is filed under the name Actinomadura spongiicola. Its description in RNAcentral is "Actinomadura sp. LHW52907 tRNA-Ala". It matches the Rfam family "tRNA". From Rfam's summary of the family: Transfer RNA (tRNA) molecules are approximately 80 nucleotides in length. Their secondary structure includes four short double-helical elements and three loops (D, anti-codon, and T loops). Further hydrogen bonds mediate the characteristic L-shaped molecular structure. tRNAs have two regions of fundamental functional importance: the anti-codon, which is responsible for specific mRNA codon recognition, and the 3' end, to which the tRNAs corresponding amino acid is attached (by aminoacyl-tRNA synthetases). tRNAs cope with the degeneracy of the genetic code in two manners: having more than one tRNA (with a specific anti-codon) for a particular amino acid; and 'wobble' base-pairing, i.e. permitting non-standard base-pairing at the 3rd anti-codon position. The record is from RNAcentral. RNAcentral also lists the same sequence under 2 other names. Lineage: Bacteria; Bacillati; Actinomycetota; Actinomycetes; Streptosporangiales; Thermomonosporaceae.
GGGGCCUUAGCUCAGUUGGUAGAGCACUGGCUUUGCAAGCCAGGUGUCAGGGGUUCGAAUCCCCUAGGCUCCACCC